GCGGGCGUCGCCAAGUGGUAAGGCAUUAGCCUUCCAAGCUAACACUCGUCGGUUCGAAUCCGAUCGCCCGCU
This 72-nucleotide transfer RNA is filed under the name bacterium. RNAcentral describes it as "tRNA-Gly". It matches the Rfam family "tRNA". From Rfam's summary of the family: Transfer RNA (tRNA) molecules are approximately 80 nucleotides in length. Their secondary structure includes four short double-helical elements and three loops (D, anti-codon, and T loops). Further hydrogen bonds mediate the characteristic L-shaped molecular structure. tRNAs have two regions of fundamental functional importance: the anti-codon, which is responsible for specific mRNA codon recognition, and the 3' end, to which the tRNAs corresponding amino acid is attached (by aminoacyl-tRNA synthetases). tRNAs cope with the degeneracy of the genetic code in two manners: having more than one tRNA (with a specific anti-codon) for a particular amino acid; and 'wobble' base-pairing, i.e. permitting non-standard base-pairing at the 3rd anti-codon position. RNAcentral also lists the same sequence under 3 other names. The record is from RNAcentral.